Molecule: ribosomal RNA, 501 nt
Filed under: uncultured bacterium
Lineage: Bacteria
Description: bacterial SSU rRNA
Rfam family: Bacterial small subunit ribosomal RNA
Source: RNAcentral
GAUGAACGCUGGCGGCGUGCCUAACACAUGCAAGUCGAGCGAAGCACUUUAAUUUGAUUCUUCGGAUGAGGAUUUUUGUGACUGAGCGGCGGACGGGUGGGUAACGCGUGGGCAACCUGCCUUACACAGGGGGAUAACAGUUAGAAAUGACUGCUAAUACCGCAUAAGACCACAGUACUGCAUGGUGCAGUGGUAAAAACUCCGGUGGUGUAAGAUGGGCCCGCGUCUGAUUAGGUAGUUGGCGGGGUAACGGCCCACCAAGCCGACGAUCAGUAGCCGACCUGAGAGGGUGACCGGCCACAUUGGGACUGAGACACGGCCCAGACUCCUACGGGAGGCAGCAGUGGGGAAUAUUGCACAAUGGGGGAAACCCUGAUGCAGCGACGCCGCGUGAGCGAUGAAGUAUUUCGGUAUGUAAAGCUCUAUCAGCAGGGAAGAAAAUGACGGUACCUGACUAAGAAGCCCCGGCUAACUACGUGCCAGCAGCCGCGGUAAUACGUA